Callorhinus ursinus (northern fur seal) is the source of this 568-nucleotide non-coding RNA. The record is from RefSeq and is a predicted model, not a curated record. Lineage: Eukaryota; Metazoa; Chordata; Mammalia; Carnivora; Otariidae.
GGCCCUCAAGUCUGGGAGGGGUUCCUUAAUUGUCGUACCAUCAGAGAGAUAUCUGCUAAUGUUUUCAGUAAGAUGGAUGAAAAAAUAUGUCACGGUAACAUUGCAUCUAGGGUCAUGGUGAGGAGGAAUUCAUGUGUCUAAACAUCAAGGAUACAUCAGGAAAGUGGGAAUGUUCUUUUGGAAGACCAUUACCUGGUCAUUCUUCCCUUGUAUUUCUCUCUCCCAGCACUGAAGCCUUCAUAGUUUAGCAGCGAACGGUCAGCCCACCCAUGUAUCACAUACUCCGUUUUAGUAGAAGCUCAAUGCUGAAAUCUUCACGUCACUUAAACCUAAAUGGAAGCAAUAUUUGUUAUUGAUUUAUGGGGAAUAAUAAAACUUUUCAAACUUCAAAAAUGAAAAGACCAGAAUCUCUUCCCUGGAAUCAAAUGUUUGUCCACCUCAAACGCAGGAGUAAUCUCAGCAGCCCUUUCCCAGGCUGCUCGCAAACCCUACGGGGCGGAACCCUUGUAUUCCUUUCGUAUCUCCUCAAAACGCGGCAGGUUCGUGGAAACACUUACUGAACCGAAUA